AAGCCUAGAACAACAGAGAGACAGCUUAUAAAGAAACAGUCUGACAGGCAACCAGACAGACAUGCUCGCUUACUCAGCAGCCGGCGAGUGAACGUCAGGACAGCUUGAUAUGAGGGUGGUGUUUGUUUUUCUCUCUUUCGAUCAAAUUUAUGUAAGAAAGACUAUGAUGGAUGUACCUGCUGUCUGAGAGAGAAACAGAUAGAGAGUGUUUCAGAGGCAGAGCUCAGUAUUAAAGGAUCACCGGUUUGUGGUGGAGUAGGUGCAGACAGUGACACAUGAGGGUGUGAUAAGAAAGGAUUUCAUAUUGAUUCACACCUCGCGCACAAACACAGAAAUAGACACAAGCUCACCGAAUCAAUCCGCGAUGUGUUCACUGUAAACCCAGUGAUUCACUUGUGGUGACCUCACAUCUGCUUGAAGAGGUCAACAGACAAACGACCAACCUCUUUUUUGAUCCAAUGAUGAGUUUUUUGAUAAACCAUUUCAGACCAGAUGUUCUUCAUUCCACUGAAACCCCUCUGGCUUGAGUGACAAAUUAUCUGAUGCCUCACACAACACCUCUGCCCUCCUGCGGCUACAUCAAUACUGUUGAUCGCAGCUUGUUAUAACACAGUCUCCAAAACCACCCAAGGAUCAGGUUAAAGGUGGACAACUCUCCCGCCUCUCCUGUCACUUGACGUGUCUUCUCAUCCCCGGAGUCGUUGUCCUGGUCAGAGCUGCUGUAAAUCACGGCUGUGCUGCGUCCCUGUCGACAAACUGGCCCCUGUUGCUCUCAGAGGCCGUGUUCGGUCCAGCAGUGAUCACUAGGAGGUUGUUGUGCUCAGCCGAGCUGAGGCUGUUGGCCUUUGGCGAUUCCCAGAAGUUGCAGUCUGGGCAGAAUUUGGUCAGCUAAUAGGGCAACUGGCUCCACAGCCGAUCUGAGCUCAUGAGCUAACCACAGCUAGCCACAGCCAUUGGUAGCUAGCACGGGGUCAGCUGAGCAGCUGGUGUGGGUCACUCUGGAGAUAUACCGCCUCCUAAACUUUUGGAUCAACAUUCAUUUACAGCACGCUGCCGCUUUAAGAUGACUCAACCGAUAA
This is a long non-coding RNA of Acanthopagrus latus (yellowfin seabream), 1079 nucleotides long. RefSeq lists it as uncharacterized. The record is from RefSeq and is a predicted model, not a curated record. NCBI's taxonomy places the organism in Eukaryota, Metazoa, Chordata, Actinopteri, Spariformes, Sparidae. The transcript is spliced from 2 exons.